This 554-nucleotide ribosomal RNA is filed under the name uncultured bacterium. RNAcentral describes it as "partial 16S ribosomal RNA". It matches the Rfam family "Bacterial small subunit ribosomal RNA", at positions 355 to 902 of the family's 1533-position model. The record is from RNAcentral.
UGGGGAAUUUUGGACAAUGGGGGAAACCCUGAUCCAGCCAUCCCGCGUGUGCGAUGAAGGCCUUCGGGUUGUAAAGCACUUUUGGCAGGAAAGAAACGUCGCGGGUUAAUACCCCGCGAAACUGACGGUACCUGCAGAAUAAGCACCGGCUAACUACGUGCCAGCAGCCGCGGUAAUACGUAGGGUGCAAGCGUUAAUCGGAAUUACUGGGCGUAAAGCGUGCGCAGGCGGUUCGGAAAGAAAGAUGUGAAAUCCCAGAGCUUAACUUUGGAACUGCAUUUUUAACUACCGGGCUAGAGUGUGUCAGAGGGAGGUGGAAUUCCGCGUGUAGCAGUGAAAUGCGUAGAUAUGCGGAGGAACACCGAUGGCGAAGGCAGCCUCCUGGGAUAACACUGACGCUCAUGCACGAAAGCGUGGGGAGCAAACAGGAUUAGAUACCCUGGUAGUCCACGCCCUAAACGAUGUCAACUAGCUGUUGGGGCCUUCGGGCCUUGGUAGCGCAGCUAACGCGUGAAGUUGACCGCCUGGGGAGUACGGUCGCAAGAUUAAAACUU